This 1375-nucleotide ribosomal RNA is filed under the name uncultured bacterium. Its description in RNAcentral is "bacterial SSU rRNA". It matches the Rfam family "Bacterial small subunit ribosomal RNA". The record is from RNAcentral.
AGAGUUUGAUCCUGGCUCAGGACGAACGCUGGCGGCGCGCCUAACACAUGCAAGUCGAACGGAGCUUAGAGAGCUUGCUUUUUAAGCUUAGUGGCGAACGGGUGAGUAACGCGUGAGUAACCUGCCCUAGAGUGGGGGACAACAGUUGGAAACGACUGCUAAUACCGCAUAAGCCCACGGUGCCGCAUGACACUGAGGGAAAAGGAUUUAUUCGCUUUAGGAUGGACUCGCGUCCAAUUAGCUAGUUGGUGAGGUAACGGCCCACCAAGGCGACGAUUGGUAGCCGGACUGAGAGGUUGAACGGCCACAUUGGGACUGAGACACGGCCCAGACUCCUACGGGAGGCAGCAGUGGGGGAUAUUGCACAAUGGGGGAAACCCUGAUGCAGCGACGCCGCGUGGAGGAAGAAGGUUUUCGGAUUGUAAACUCCUGUCGUUAGGGACGAUAAUGACGGUACCUAACAAGAAAGCACCGGCUAACUACGUGCCAGCAGCCGCGGUAAAACGUAGGGUGCAAGCGUUGUCCGGAAUUACUGGGUGUAAAGGGAGCGCAGGCGGGAAGACAAGUUGGAAGUGAAAACCAUGGGCUCAACCCAUGAAUUGCUUUCAAAACUGUUUUUCUUGAGUAGUGCAGAGGUAGAUGGAAUUCCCGGUGUAGCGGUGGAAUGCGUAGAUAUCGGGAGGAACACCAGUGGCGAAGGCGGUCUACUGGGCACCAACUGACGCUGAGGCUCGAAAGCAUGGGUAGCAAACAGGAUUAGAUACCCUGGUAGUCCAUGCCGUAAACGAUGAUUACUAGAGUGUUGGGGGAUUGACCCCCUCAGUGCCGCAGUUAACACAAAUAAGUAAUCCACCUGGGGAGUACGACCGCAAGGUUGAAAACUCAAAGGAAUAGACGGGGGCCCGCACAAGCAGUGGAGUAUGUGGUUUAAUUAGAAGCAACGCGAAGAACCUUACCAGGUCUUGACAUCCGAUGCAUAGCACAGAGAUGUGUGAAAUCCUUCGGGACAUCGAGACAGGUGGUGCAUGGUUGUCGUCAGCUCGUGUCGUGAGAUGUUGGGUUAAGUCCCGCAACGAGCGCAACCCUUAUUGCCAGUUACUACGUUAAGAGGACUCUGGCGAGACUGCCGUUGACAAAACGGAGGAAGGUGGGGAUGACGUCAAAUCAUCAUGCCCUUUAUGACCUGGGCUACACACGUACUACAAUGGCGUUAAACAAAGAGAAGCAAGACCGCGAGGUGGAGCAAAACUCAAAAACAACGUCUCAGUUCAGAUUGCAGGCUGCAACUCGCCUGCAUGAAGUCGGAAUUGCUAGUAAUCGCGGAUCAGCAUGCCGCGGUGAAUACGUUCCCGGGCCUUGUACUCACCGCCCGUCA